GAUGAAGAACGUAGCGAAAUGCGAUAAGUAGUGUGAAUUGCAGAAUUCAGUGAAUCAUCGAAUCUUUGAACGCACAUUGCGCCCCUUGGUAUUCCAUGGGGCAUGCCUGUUCGAGCGUCAUUUGUACCUUCAAGCUUUGCUUGGUGUUGGGCGUCUUGUCUCUAGCUUUGCUGGAGACUCGCCUUAAAGUAAUUGGCAGCCGGCCUACUGGUUUCGGAGCGCAGCACAAGUCGCACUCUCUAUCAGCAAAGGUCUAGCAUCCAUUAAGCCUUUUUUUCAACUUUUGACCUCGGAUCAGGUAGGGAUACCCGCUGAACUUAAGCAUAUCAAUAAGCGGAGGA
This 341-nucleotide unclassified non-coding RNA is filed under the name soil metagenome. RNAcentral's name for it is "partial contains 5.8S ribosomal RNA, internal transcribed spacer 2, and large subunit ribosomal RNA". The stretch from base 1 to 120 matches the Rfam family "5.8S ribosomal RNA", at positions 35 to 154 of the family's 154-position model. The record is from RNAcentral.